Small nuclear RNA from Hyaena hyaena (striped hyena), 102 nucleotides. Lineage: Eukaryota; Metazoa; Chordata; Mammalia; Carnivora; Hyaenidae. The record is from RefSeq and is a predicted model, not a curated record.
GUGCUCACUUCGGCAACACAUAUACUAAAAUUGGAAUGAUACAGCGAAGAUUAGCAUGGCCCCUGCACAAGAAAGAUAAAUACUACAUGAUUCUAUUUAUAU